Non-coding RNA from Paramuricea clavata, 73 nucleotides. The record is from the annotation of a GenBank genome assembly. NCBI's taxonomy places the organism in Eukaryota, Metazoa, Cnidaria, Anthozoa, Malacalcyonacea, Plexauridae.
GACCGCGUAGCUCAGUUGGCAGAGCAUUGGGCUAGUAUUCCAAAGGUCGUAGGUUCGAUUCCAACCGUGUCCC